GGGGGUGUAGCUCAAUUGGGAGAGCGCAUGCUUUGCACGCAUGAGGUAGUCGGUUCGAACCCGACCAUCUCCACCA
RNAcentral lists this transfer RNA (76 nucleotides) under Candidatus Nesciobacter abundans. RNAcentral describes it as "tRNA-Ala". It matches the Rfam family "tRNA". From Rfam's summary of the family: Transfer RNA (tRNA) molecules are approximately 80 nucleotides in length. Their secondary structure includes four short double-helical elements and three loops (D, anti-codon, and T loops). Lineage: Bacteria; Pseudomonadati; Pseudomonadota; Alphaproteobacteria; Holosporales; Holosporaceae. The record is from RNAcentral.